Cydia amplana is the source of this 245-nucleotide long non-coding RNA. RefSeq lists it as uncharacterized. Lineage: Eukaryota; Metazoa; Arthropoda; Insecta; Lepidoptera; Tortricidae. The record is from RefSeq and is a predicted model, not a curated record. The transcript has 2 exons.
AAGGCAAGGAGGUCUGCUUGUACAGACGGCGCGAUACUUCGGUCUGCGGCCGGCUUAGUGAGAUAUCCAAAUUAUUCUGGGCCACUUGGAAGAAAAUCCAGGACGACCCAUUCUACUGGUCUCUCUUCAAGGCCGGUGUUUACUUCUUAUUGGGGCUGAAGCUGUUCGGAGACCUGUCUGCCGAGUUGAAACCACUACCUAAAUGCGUGCGGAGAAGUUAAUGUUUGGAUAAAAUAUUUUCGUUA